UCUUACAAGAGAUAAAAGAAAGGAAGCAGAGAGUUGGGGACCUCAUACCACCAAGAAAGCAGCACCAGAAGCAGAGCAUAUCCUUUGGACCUGAGGUUCCUGUGUGAAGAAGCUCCUAGACCAAGGGAAGAUCGAUGACAAGGAUCAUCCUCCAGAGCCGAAAGAGACAGAAAGCCUUUCCCUGGAGUUGGCACCCUGAAUUCUGGACUUCUACCCUCUUAGACUGCUUAUAAAGAGGACUACAAUAUUUUGAACAUGAAUAUUACUGGACCAAACCAAGAUUUCCAAAACUUUUACACAGAAAUGGAUGGGGUUUUCAGAUUGCUGCUGAACCAGAAUUUCAUGGAACCAAAAUUAACCUCAUAGGGGUUAAAGAAGCCUCUGGUGACCAAAAGCCAGAGCCUCAAAGCCUGCCCAAUAUUGAUCCAGGAGAGUAUGUACAUGGGAAGAGGCGUUAACUGAAAGACUCCUUGGAGCCCUGUUAGAAGGGACUAUACCUGGUCCUCCUCACCAAACUGUGUGCUGCCAAACUAAGAGUCAAACCUUGGAUCCAUUUGUCACAAUUAAAGAAAGCCAAGACACCUCUGUGGAUUAGCAGGCCCUCUGGAGAACUAAAGAUUACCUUGAGAUGCUCUCAGGGCCAGAAGCAGGUAACAUCUGAGGUAGACAGCUAGCCCCAAUAUCAUAGAAUACAACCUCAUGCAUGUUGAAUUUUGUGGACUUUGCCUAACAAUUGUCACUAUUUUAAUUCUGCUAGCUUUGUCAUAUGACUGUGGUUUAAUCUCCUGGUAAGACUUGUAUGACAUGAAAUUUUGUUUAAGCUUUGUUCUUCUCUUCAUAGUAAUUCCAUUUGAGGUUUGGAAAAAAAUGCUUUUGUUAAGUUGCCCUGAUCAGUAGCAAGUGUCAGUGAUUUGAAUGAAUGUUGGAUCUGUCACCCCAAUCCAUGCGGACAUAAAAACUCAGAUCCACUAGUGUCUCCAAUAUCACAUUAGUCUUAUGCCUUAAACUGUUAUUAAUCUUAAUGUUACCUUUAAAAAACCAUAUAUGUCAGACUUUGACAUCUCCCUGGAUUAUUGGCUCAACCUCAGGUACUGUGUUUCAAUUUAGCCCAUGUCGUAAGCUGGAUACUGAAUUGCUUUAGAUACAGAAAUUUACCUAGUCUCUAUUGCAGUUUUAGCAGAUUACUACAGUAUUUCCAAACUAAUAACCCCACGCAAAUUGCUGAUUCCCCUAAGUAUUUCAAUACCUUGUCCCUGAGUAUGACUCAAUUGCCAUAUUGUCAAGAUGGAAGCCAGACAGAUCCUAAUAAUCUGUCCCUUCUUUGUACUAAACUCUGGAGCCCAGUGAGAUUAGGACAAUUACCCAUUUGUGACAAUUCUCUUGUUGAAAGUUGGUUUGAGGUUAAUAGAACUAUUUCCAAUUACAGCACUAUGAGAGAGCCUAACCCUAGUGACUAGUCCUAUGCUUAGGCGGUUGGAGAAUGCAGGGUCAAUAUAAGUUAGGGCUUUUAGGAGUUCCACCGAAUACUCAUUCUUAUAAUGAAAGUAUGCAUUGGACCAGUGAUUUGAAAAUUCCCAGUAAGAACUGAAGGGACGAUAUGUCAUCCUCUAAUCCAAUAGCUGACAAGCCUGAAAUGGGUUGAGUAUUCCUUCGGGCACUCCUGCCUACUUAUGGUAUUCCCCAACUUGAGAAACCCAUUCAUAACCUAUCCACUACAAUGGCUCAAAUUGCUGAUGAUGUUGCAGACAGAAUGGUUGUUCAACAGAUCUUUAGAAUCCAUUGUUAAAGUUGUAUUAGAUGAUAGGUUAGUUCUAGAUUUCCUCUUAGCUCAGCAAGGUGAAGUUUGUGUUAUUGACAAUACUUCCUGUUAUGCCUGGAUUAACAAUACAGGAGAAGUACAAGAUAUCUGAAAAAUUUGCCAACAGGUUACAUACAUACAUUCAAUACCUCUUAUGCUUGAUUCUCCUUUCCUAGAUAUCUUUAGCUGGUUACUGACUGGUAUAGGUUCUUGGCUGUAUUACAUAUUACAAACUGGCCUAAUCAUUUUAAUUACAGUAAUCAUUAUUAUAGGAAUAAUCAAAUGCUUUAUGAAAUUUCUGUUCAAUGCUUGGAACCAGUCCACCACUUUGCUGUGCAGAGGACUAUGUAUCUUGAAUCUUUAGAGAAGACUACUUUCACACCUUGAGUUAGCCCUUCAGUUAAGUUGUUCCUCCUAAUGUGGCUCUACACUAACCUUGCCUUGCAGAUCACAGCAGAGUAUCUGAACUAUGGCAUGGUGAAGAAAUGGGGAAUGAUUUUAAUCUAUGAACAAAAACCACUCUGAACAAUGACCAUGGAGAAGGAAACACUCUUACAAUAGUGAUCAAAGAAUCUCCAUUGAGAUUCAUGAUCAAAAGGGGGUAAUGUGUGAGUGCCCCCUAAAAAUCUGAGGUGCUUGGCAUGACUAAGAUGGCUGACUCAGGUUUGAAUCAUGCUCCAUUUUGCUCCUAACCUCCACUUCUGCUUUUAGACUGUGCAUGGAAUUUUCCAUUCUUGUAGUUUUAACUACCCCCCUUGGGCAAUCAAGGAAGGAGCAAGAAUGUGGUUAAACAUACGGCAAAAUGUUACCUAGGCAGAGGGUCUUGUGACUCUAUUUUGAAAGACUGCUUGCACAGACUGUUCUCAGAUAAGUUGAUGUAAAGAAAGAUUUUUUUUGUUCCUCUACACUGUAUAUAAAAAUCACUCUCUACCUAACCCUUUGGAACACUUCACACUUAUGCUUUGUGCCGACUAGUCUGAACCACUCUAUUCCUCAAUAAAGCUCUACUGUUCUCUAUUUGGAAACCCUGGUAGCGUAGUGGUUAAGUGCUACAGCUGCUAACCAAGAGGUCGGCAGUUCAAAUCUGCCAGGCACUCCUUGGAAACUCUAUGGGGCAGUUCUACUCUGUUCUAUAGGGUCGCUAUGAGUUGGAAUCGACUCGAUGGCAGUGGGUGGUGGGUGUUCUCUAUUUACAGAGUCCAGGCAUAACUCUGCACUUUGACAAAGCUAAAGGAACAGAGACUUCAGGGACCACACAUGACAAAGAGUAUAGACUUUACAGAAUUAGUUGAGAAAAACACACUAAAUAAAUAUCAACUACAAAAAAAGAGCCAAAACAAAUCCCAGGGAUAGGAAAGAAUCUGAUUUCCACAGCUGCCAAAUUAUAAUAUUAAAAAUGUCCAAUUUUGUUUUCAACAGAAAUUACAAGGCAUGCAAAGAAAGCACAUGGCCCUUACACAGGAAAAAAAUCAAUAGAAAUCAUGCCCAAAGAAGUGCAGGCAUUGGUGUUUCUAGACAAAGACUUUAAAUCAGCUAAUGGAAACCCUGGUGGCAUAGUGGUUAAGAGCUACAGCUGCUAACCAAAAGGUUGGCAGUUCUAAUCCACCAGACGCUCCUUGGAAACCCUAUUGGGCGGUUCUACUCUGUCCUAUAGGCUCACUAUGAGUCGGAAUCAACUCAAUGGCAACUUUUUUUUUUUUUAAUGUUUAAUGAGGUAAAGGAAGAAUUAAAGUAUGAAAAUGGUGUCUCAAUAAAUUGAGAAUAUUAAUCCCUCUUGCUGUCAAGUUGAACCUGAUUCAUAGCAGCCCUAUAGGACAGAGUAAAACUGCCCUAUACUGUUUCCAAGGCUGUAAUCUUUACGGAAUUAGAGUGCCACAUCUCUCUCCUGUGGAGAGGGUGGUGGGUUCGAAUCACAGACCUUUUGUUUAGCAGCCUAGUACUUAACCACUGCCACCAGGGCUCUGAGAAUAUUAAUAAAGAGAAAUUAUAUAUACACCAAAUAAAAUUCUGGAGUUGGAUAGUACGUCAACAAAUGGGAUAUUCACUAGACUGACUCAACAGAUUUAAGCAGGCACCAGAAGGAAUCAGCAAAUGUGAAGGUAGGUCAUUUGAGAUUAUUCUGAGGAACAGAAAGAAAAAAAAAAAAAGAACACAGCC
Loxodonta africana (African savanna elephant) is the source of this 3955-nucleotide long non-coding RNA. RefSeq lists it as uncharacterized. The transcript is spliced from 3 exons. The record is from RefSeq and is a predicted model, not a curated record. NCBI's taxonomy places the organism in Eukaryota, Metazoa, Chordata, Mammalia, Proboscidea, Elephantidae.